ACAGAAGAGGAAGAUCUAGAAAUUUGCAUACCUAGAGGAACUCGCCUUCUUGAUGCCCCUUGCUUACAGAAGGUCGACAUCGACUGAGUACGAGCGGCCGUAGGUCACAAGGGGGCGUGGAACUGCUGCAGCCCAUCUGUGACAGAGCAGACUCCUGCGAAUUUGCCCAGCUAGGUACAUCCUCUACAUGGUAGCAACUUGAAGAAAAUUCUUCCUUUUUGCUUCCAUGACCUGAUAUCCUCCUCGCUGAUGUAUCGAGGAGCCGUGACCCGGCCUCACAGGAAGGGCCAGGGCGAAGACGUAUCCCCGACGGCCAAGACACGUCCACGGUGGUGAUUUUUGAUGGUGAGACAGAGCAGACUCGAGCGACUUUGCCCAGCCAGGAGCACAUAAAAGAUAAUCAGCGUUUAUUCGCUAGCUGGAAUUAAAGGCAACGGCGAGAGAGCAAGAUCAAGGACAACUUCAAAAUUUAAGAAUAUAUGCAAGAAAUGGACGUGAAGCAACAUUUAUAACCAAUCUCCGGACAGUAUUAUACCUGAUUCCGUCGAGUAGACGUUAUCAACAAUUUCAGCUACGGGUCUCGCAACUAAACGAAAACAUGGUAGGUUGCAUCAUACCUGU
This is a long non-coding RNA of Triticum aestivum (bread wheat), 621 nucleotides long. RefSeq lists it as uncharacterized. Lineage: Eukaryota; Viridiplantae; Streptophyta; Magnoliopsida; Poales; Poaceae. The record is from RefSeq and is a predicted model, not a curated record. The transcript has 5 exons.